Molecule: ribosomal RNA, 531 nt
Filed under: Nakazawaea ernobii
Lineage: Eukaryota; Fungi; Ascomycota; Pichiomycetes; Alaninales; Pachysolenaceae
Description: eukaryotic LSU rRNA
Rfam family: Eukaryotic large subunit ribosomal RNA
Source: RNAcentral
UCACUAAGCUGUGUAGCAUCAUAGGCACCUUUGCCUAGUUCUAGUUGUAAUUUGAAGAAGGUAUCUUUGGAGUUGGCCCCCGUCUAUGUUCCUUGGAACAGGACGUCACAGAGGGUGAGAAUCCCGUGCGAUGGGGAGACCAAUUCUAUGUAAAGUUCCUUCGAAGAGUCGAGUUGUUUGGGAAUGCAGCUCUAAGUGGGUGGUAAAUUCCAUCUAAAGCUAAAUAUUGGCGAGAGACCGAUAGCGAACAAGUACAGUGAUGGAAAGAUGAAAAGAACUUUGAAAAGAGAGUGAAAAAGUACGUGAAAUUGUUGAAAGGGAAGGGCUUUUGAUCAGACUUGGUGUUUAGGACUCUCUACUCCUUGUGGGUGGGGCUCUUGCUUUAUACUGGGCCAGCAUCGGUUUGGAUGGUAGGAUAAUAGCAUUGGAAUGUGGCUUCAUUCGUGAAGUGUUAUAGCCCUUGUUGAUACUACCUAUCUAGACCGAGGACUGCGUCUUUUGACUAGGAUGCUGGCGUAAUGAUUAAAAGCC